GCAGGCUGUGUCCAGAGGAAGGUCAGAGACAGCAGGCUGUGUCCAGAGGAAGGUCAGAGACAGCAGGCUGUGUCCAGAGGAAGGUCAGAGACAGCAGGCUGUGUCCAGAGGAAGGUCAGAGACAGCAGGCUGUGUCCAGAGGAAGGUCAGGGACAGCAGGCUGUGUCCAGAGGAAGGUCAGGGACAGCAGGCUGUGUCCAGAGGAAGGUCAGGGACAG
Molecule: long non-coding RNA, 218 nt
Organism: Oncorhynchus keta (chum salmon)
Lineage: Eukaryota; Metazoa; Chordata; Actinopteri; Salmoniformes; Salmonidae
Exons: 3
Source: RefSeq, a predicted model, not a curated record